This is a long non-coding RNA of Lynx canadensis (Canada lynx), 3064 nucleotides long. RefSeq lists it as uncharacterized. NCBI's taxonomy places the organism in Eukaryota, Metazoa, Chordata, Mammalia, Carnivora, Felidae. The record is from RefSeq and is a predicted model, not a curated record. The transcript has 3 exons.
CCCGAGCCGGAGUCGGACGUGCAACCGACAGAGCCACCCAAGCAUCCCAUCCAUUCUCUACUCUUAACCAAAGAGGUAUUCUAAAAACUGUACAUCUUUUGGUGGUGCUCCAUUGCUCUUAAGCUAAGAGUCAAAAUCUGUGCCACCAAGGUAGCCCUGGCACCCUGCUGUCCUCCAGCCCCCACCUCCGGCACUUUCCCCCUCAGCCUGGCUAUUUCUCUGUCGUCCAGAACAUCAUUCUCCCUCGCCCGCAGUGCCCACACUGGGAGGGUUUUCUUCACCCUGUCUCCUGACUAAGCCCUUCUCGUGCUUCAGACCUCAGCUCAAAUGCCAUGACUCCAGACCAGGUAAGAUCUGCUGUUCUGUGCUUUGUAGAUUCUUCAUUGCCUCAUGUAACUCUCAUUGACACGGCUGGCCAAAGCCUAAGUUUGCACGAUGUGUGAAUUUACUUCGUCAAUGCUUGCCUCCCCACUGGAAUCUAAGCUCCUCCAAGACCAGAGACAUCUCUUUUGCCAGUUGCUGAAACUCCCAUCCCAAGUCCAGUGCCAGGGCCACCGUGUCCCCACCCCCUGGCAAGGGCUCUCUGCUGAGGUUUGCUCAGUGGUGGGUCGGGGAUGGGUGUGUGGGAGGCCUGGAGUGCCGCUUCCGCAAAAUCUCCCUCUGUGGACCAAGUUUCCAGUUGGAAAAUGCUGCCUCCCCCUGGUCACCUGCACGGACAGGAGAGGGCCGUGGGGGACCUGCAGGGCCCUGUCAGGGUCAGGAUGGGCAGAAUUUUCCAAGUCGAUGAUGAACAGCUGUGUUCCUUUUUUUUUUUUUUUAAGGUGGAGCAUGAAAAAAAUCCUGGAAACUGGAAUAACUAUUUGCUGGUUGACCCAUUUUCCAUAGAUUAAGCCGAAGAGUUUGCAAAUGAGUUGAAAGUGGAGGGUCUGAAGGUUUUGCCUGGAAUUGUCAUUGUCUUUUAAUGGUGUAUCUUAAACGUAUAAAUUGUUACUACUGAUUUGAUGGCAAAUCAUUGACUUUAUAGACAAAACCUGCAUUUUGAGUCUUUUCGUUCACUAAUUUUUUAAUGAAAAUAUCCUUGUAUUUUUAUCUGGUCCUCUGGUAACCAACAACAUGGGCAUUUGUCUGUGUCUAUAACGCAGAUUAAGAUGGUUGGUCAAUGAGACAAAUCAGAGCCAUCAGUUUGAAACCCUUGUCCAACUUGGCUGCGGGCUCCCAAUGGGCAGGGGCCGUGUCUUAUUCGAUUCUCUUCCCCCAGCUCCUGGCAGGAUGUUCAGAACACAGAAGGUUGCUCAUUGAAAUUUGCUGAAUAUAUGCUGCCUGGCAGUGUUGCAAUGAAAAGAGCCUACCAUCUACUUAAAGUGAAUGUGGAAUGAGCUGUCAAGAUGGUAAGUUCCCCAGGGUAGAGGAUCAGGUCCGUCUUGACUGCUGCUGAAUCCAUGGUGCCUGUUCCUGCUCCUGACACACAGAAGGUGCUCCAUAAAUUUUUGCUGUGUGACGGGAUGUGUAGGCAAAUCGAAGCGAUGGAAAGUGAGAGACCCUUUGGACGUUGUGCAGAGUCGGCCCCGUGUUUUCUGUCACGAGACGGUGGUCGAAAUGGCUAACAGCACUCCACCGAGCCUGGAGGGAAGGGAUGGUCAGGAGUAAGGUCCAGGCUCUCCUGCCAACGUGGCCCCACUGGGAUUCUGGGACUCACAGAAAGAGGAACAGAUCCCUCCCGCCCCACCCUCAGGAUUUUCUCUUUGCAUAUGAAAAGACUGUGAGGGCCCUGAAGAUGGGGUGUGUGCAUUGGGCAGAAUUGUAGUCUGAAGCUUAAUCUGAAAAGGAAGGAGGGUGGGGGGUGGCUUGGACACCCAUGCCUCUAUCCAUCGGGGAGCAAUCUGGGUCCCACUAACACCCUUCCUCUCUUUCCUGUCUCCAUGUGCACACCCAGCGGACCUCUGCGAGGGGAACAGGUGGUGGGUGAAUGCCUGAAUGACCAUGGCUGAGCGCUCCUGCGGGUUAGGGGACAAAGCAGUUGCCAUGCAAGGGUUCAAAUCCCCCAGGUCUGACUGCAGUGUCUCCCAUGAACAGGUCUAUUUAAGACGUGAUUUGGAACGUGACAAUGACAUUCAGCGUGUAUGCCACCUCCUUUCUUACUACCAGCAGCCUUACCCCGCUCCGCCCUAGAUUUUUCCACCUACGCUAUUGCCACUUGGUAAAGAGGGAAGCUCAAAGCACACGCUGGUGUGCCCAAAUUCUCAUUAAUUCCUCCCUGUGAUUUGGGGAGAAAUCGAGGUUACUUUAGUAGCAGCUUCUGAGUAAAAGUAAGCAGCCUCUUAGAGAACAAACAACCCUCCUGUUUCCGAAACUCCUCCCUGGACACUUAUUUGCCAGAGAGAAGUCAACAUGCCUUAUGGCUGGGAUCUAACAGGGUCUAAAGGGAUGGUCAGGGACACACGUGGCACAUGUUGGUCUUUCGCCUAGCACAAGCCAAGACUGGACCUUCUGGGCCAAAGUGGGUCUUCCGAGGGCAACAUUCAGCUUUUUGCUUUUUCCCUGCAAUGGGUGUAUGGUUCUCCUUCCCCAAAUGGACAUCUAGGCUUGGAUGGCAAAUUGCCCAUUGAGGGGUCCAAUUCCCCCCCGGACCUUGUGUCUCCCUUCUGAUACUGAACAGUAUGGGUAGUGCAAUCCCCAGCCGGGAGGCAUUCCUGCAGGCAAACAGGCAGCCAUUCUCAGAGUGUCCUGACCUUUGCACAUGGUUUUUAUUUUCCCUCACCACCACGAAGGCAAUGUCACCCUCCACAUUGGCGGGUGCUUUGGCCCUGUGCUGAUGUAGAGGUCCCACUCUUGCCUCGGCCUAUGUCACACGCACUGAUCUUAUACCUUGCUAUAGAGCGAAUGUUUGUGUCCCUUCCAAAAUUCACAUGUUGAAAUCCUAACCCCUGACACGAUCAUGUUAGGAGGUGGGCCUUUGAAGGUGAUUAGGCAUCUAUGAACUAGGACAUGGGACCCUCACGGGACACCCCAAAUCUGCCAGAGCCUUGAUCUUGGACCUUCUAGACUCCAGAAUGGUAGAAAUAAA